AAACGAAAAACCGCGCGGUGCUAACGAAAGGAAAAUUCUUUAUAACUUAGAGGGCUCCCCAAAAAAGUAUUUAACAGAAAGGGUGCGACCAGGGUAUACACAGGGGGACACCCCCCAAAACAGGGGUUACCACUGGAAACAGAUGUUAAUCCCGUAUAACAGAAAAACCCCCUGGUUUUUUUUAAAAGAGGGCUUCGCUACCCUUUCGGAAGGCCCCCGGGCCCAUUACCUAGUUGGUAGGUAACGGCUCACCAAGGCGAUGAUGCGUAGCCGACCUGAGAGGGUAAUCGGCCACAUUGGGACUGAGACACGGCCCAGAUUCCUACGGGAGGCAGCAGUAGGGAAUCUUCCCCAAUGGACGCAAGUCUGAUGGAGCAACGCCGCGUGAGUGAAGAAGGGUUUCGGCUCGUAAAGCUCUGUUGUUAAAGAAGAACGUGGGUGAGAGUAACUGUUCACCCAGUGACGGUAUUUAACCAGAAAGCCACGGCUAACUACGUGCCAGCAGCCGCGGUAAUACGUAGGUGGCAAGCGUUAUCCGGAUUUAUUGGGCGUAAAGCGAGCGCAGGCGGUCUUUUAAGUCUAAUGUGAAAGCCUUCGGCUCAACCGAAGAAGUGCAUUGGAAACUGGGAGACUUGAGUGCAGAAGAGGACAGUGGAACUCCAUGUGUAGCGGUGAAAUGCGUAGAUAUAUGGAAGAACACCAGUGGCGAAGGCGGCUGUCUGGUCUGUAACUGACGCUGAGGCUCGAAAGCAUGGGUAGCGAACAGGAUUAGAUACCCUGGUAGUCCAUGCCGUAAACGAUGAUUACUAAGUGUUGGAGGGUUUCCGCCCUUCAGUGCUGCAGCUAACGCAUUAAGUAAUCCGCCUGGGGAGUACGACCGCAAGGUUGAAACUCAAAAGAAUUGACGGGGGCCCGCACAAGCGGUGGAGCAUGUGGUUUAAUUCGAAGCUACGCGAAGAACCUUACCAGGUCUUGACAUCUUCUGCCAACCUAAGAGAUUAGGCGUUCCCUUCGGGGACAGAAUGACAGGUGGUGCAUGGUUGUCGUCAGCUCGUGUCGUGAGAUGUUGGGUUAAGUCCCGCAACGAGCGCAACCCUUAUUACUAGUUGCCAGCAUUCAGUUGGGCACUCUAGUGAGACUGCCGGUGACAAACCGGAGGAAGGUGGGGACGACGUCAAAUCAUCAUGCCCCUUAUGACCUGGGCUACACACGUGCUACAAUGGAUGGUACAACGAGUCGCGAAACCGCGAGGUUUAGCUAAUCUCUUAAAACCAUUCUCAGUUCGGACUGUAGGCUGCAACUCGCCUACACGAAGUCGGAAUCGCUAGUAAUCGCGGAUCAGCAUGCCGCGGUGAAUACGUUCCCGGGCCUUGUACACACCGCCCGUCACACCAUGAGAGUUUGUAACACCCAAAGCCGGUGGGGUAACCUUUUAGGAGCUAGCCGUCUAAGGGGAG
Molecule: ribosomal RNA, 1457 nt
Filed under: Pediococcus acidilactici
Lineage: Bacteria; Bacillati; Bacillota; Bacilli; Lactobacillales; Lactobacillaceae
Description: bacterial SSU rRNA
Rfam family: Bacterial small subunit ribosomal RNA
Source: RNAcentral